RNAcentral lists this unclassified non-coding RNA (279 nucleotides) under plant metagenome. RNAcentral's name for it is "partial contains small subunit ribosomal RNA, internal transcribed spacer 1, and 5.8S ribosomal RNA". The record is from RNAcentral.
UCUCCGUAGGUGAACCUGCGGAGGGAUCAUUACAGAGUUCUCGCCCUCGCGGGUAGACCGUCCACCCACUGUUAUCGUUACUGUGUUGCUUUGGCGGGCCUCCGGACCCCGCCCGGCCGCCGGCCCCGGCUGGCGCGCGCCCGCCAGGUGCGCAGCAAACGCUGACUGUUAUUGUGGGCUGAGUACUAAAUGAUAGUUAAAACUUUGAACAAUGGAGCUCUUGAUUCGUGCAUCGAUGAAUAACCAACCAGACCGGAGGAGCACACGUCUAAAAGCCAG